CAUAUCCGGCGCUCCGUAAGCUCAAGCUCGUCACUGGUUAAAUGUGGAGCCUGUUCGAGGAGGGUGAACUUUCUUUUUCCGUCAUCCCAAAAUACAGCAGUGACAUUUGUUUACACGUAGGUAAACAUAAUCGAAGAUCGUAUUCGAUACGAAAUGGACUCCUCUGAGCACGGCUCUUCAAAGUCAUCUACAGGUGAAGCCAGUGCAGGGACGCUACCGCCAGGCCUGACAGAGGAGGAGGCAGAAGAGAUACAGGUGGAGCUCACCAAGGUGGAGGAUGAGAUUCAGACACUGAGACAGGUUAUCGUGGUGAAGGAGAGGCAUGCCGCUGAGCUCAAGCGCAGACUUGGCAUCGGUCCCCUCUCCGAAAUCAAACAGAACCUCACCAAAGGCUGGCAUGAAGUCCAGUGUUCCAAUGCUUAUAUGAGAACCUCACAAACUCUUGGAGACUUGAAUCGUAGAGUUUCCUCAUCUAAUUUAUACCUUACAGCUUCGGCCACACUUGAAGAAAUUGGACGUUCUGAUGCCUAUAAGAGGACUCAGGAGACUCUGUCUCAGGCAGGUCACAUGACAUCAGCUGCGUUCUCCUCAGUGGGCUCUGCCAUCAGAAACCGAUUUGGAGAGAUGAGGGCUCUGCCGUACUCUAACUCUGGGUAAGAGCUAUACGAGAGCCUGCACUGAUGGCAGCCGUCUCCUGUGAAGAUUUCUAGAGCAUUCUAUGGAACUCGCCAAGCUUUAAAUCCUUUGAGGACAAGGUGGAGAAUAUGAAGUACAAAGUAAUGGGGCGAUCAAAUGGAGAGAGCGACCAUUCGCCAACCAGCAACAACGCUCCUUUCUGAGCAGGAAGCACAACCUCAUGACCAAGAACUGAUCUCUGCUAUCCUUCUGUAACGCUGCAGCCAAAUACACUCCAGUCUCUCCACUGCUAAGUUACCUACAAAUGAAUGUACAGAAAGAAAACGAUGCUUUAAGAAACCAAGAUGCCAACAUGCAAAGAGAUAAUGAUUAUUUAACAAGUCUCACCCUUUCAUUAUGCAUUAUAGCCAAACAAAUCCUCUUAAAUUAGAAUAUUAAAACUGGAUAACGCUUUUUGGGACUGUUCAGUUUUUUUCUGUGCAUCUAAUUACCUUUACAUUUAUUGUCAUAUUUUAUCUAGUCAAACUAUGGGCUUCUUUGAAACUUGAGUAGUAAAUGGUCUGUUAUGAUCAGCAUGAAGAGGUAAAAUGUUUGCACAUCUCACACUUAGAAUUUCCUAAAAAAUAUCAGGCUUCUUGAGCCUGCUUCAUUGUCACUGUUUAUUAUUGUUACAUGCUUCCUACAAUGAAUAUUGCACUGGUUAUUAUCACCCUGCUUGUUACUCAGGGGAAAAGGUGCUAAAGCUUUUCUUGUGACGAGACUGAAGCACCAGGUGUGUACUAAAUUAUACAUACAAUACAUUAAAUGUACAAUACAUUUAUUUUAUUGUCUUUAUCUGUUUUGAGUUUUCCCCAGUUUAAUAACAAAAAAAUACUACAAUAUGUUCAAGCAGAAAUGUUUUGAGAUUCGAGCUAUAAAUACAACCUGUUUCUUCUGGCCUGUUUUAGUGUGAGUUCAUUAUUUAUUCACUGUCCAUGCAAUGAUCUGGAAGAGAAUGUUACCAUACUGACCUUACUACUGUUUACAUGUUUGAUGCUUUGUGGCUGUAACAUACUACACCGUUCAGGGUUUAUUAAAGACAAAGAAAUAACGAGAA
RNA transcript from Carassius auratus (goldfish), 1732 nucleotides. It is a transcript of the gene named tpd52 like 2a, with no coding region annotated. NCBI's taxonomy places the organism in Eukaryota, Metazoa, Chordata, Actinopteri, Cypriniformes, Cyprinidae. The transcript is spliced from 9 exons. The record is from RefSeq and is a predicted model, not a curated record.